RNAcentral lists this ribosomal RNA (1919 nucleotides) under Campylobacter coli. RNAcentral's name for it is "partial 23S ribosomal RNA". It matches the Rfam family "Bacterial large subunit ribosomal RNA", at positions 1 to 1786 of the family's 2925-position model. Lineage: Bacteria; Pseudomonadati; Campylobacterota; Epsilonproteobacteria; Campylobacterales; Campylobacteraceae. The record is from RNAcentral.
AAAAAAGGUAAGCUACUAAGAGCGAAUGGUGGAUGCCUUGACUGGUAAAGGCGAUGAAGGACGUACUAGACUGCGAUAAGCUACGGGGAGCUGUCAAGAAGCUUUGAUCCGUAGAUUUCCGAAUGGGGCAACCCAAUGUAUAGAGAUAUACAUUACCUAUAUAGGAGCGAACGAGGGGAAUUGAAACAUCUUAGUACCCUCAGGAAAAGAAAUCAAUAGAGAUUGCGUCAGUAGCGGCGAGCGAAAGCGCAAGAGGGCAAACCCAGUGCUUGCACUGGGGGUUGUAGGACUGCAAUGUGCAAGAGGUGAGUUUAGCAGAACAUUCUGGAAAGUAUAGCCAUAGAGGGUGAUAGUCCCGUAUGCGAAAAACAAACCUUAGCUAGCAGUAUCCUGAGUAGGGCGGGACACGAGAAAUCCUGUCUGAAGCUGGGUCGACCACGAUCCAACCCUAAAUACUAAUACCAGAUCGAUAGUGCACAAGUACCGUGAGGGAAAGGUGAAAAGAACUGAGGUGAUCAGAGUGAAAUAGAACCUGAAACCAUUUGCUUACAAUCAUUCAGAGCCCUAUGUAGCAAUACAGGGUGAUGGACUGCCUUUUGCAUAAUGAGCCUGCGAGUUGUGGUGUCUGGCAAGGUUAAGCAAACGCGAAGCCGUAGCGAAAGCGAGUCUGAAUAGGGCGCUUAGUCAGAUGCUGCAGACCCGAAACGAAGUGAUCUAUCCAUGAGCAAGUUGAAGCUAGUGUAAGAACUAGUGGAGGACUGAACCCAUAGGCGUUGAAAAGCCCCGGGAUGACUUGUGGAUAGGGGUGAAAGGCCAAUCAAACUUCGUGAUAGCUGGUUCUCUCCGAAAUAUAUUUAGGUAUAGCGUUGUGUCGUAAUAUAAGGGGGUAGAGCACUGAAUGGGCUAGGGCAUACACCAAUGUACCAAACCCUAUCAAACUCCGAAUACCUUAUAUGUAAUCACAGCAGUCAGGCGGCGAGUGAUAAAAUCCGUCGUCAAGAGGGAAACAACCCAGACUACCAGCUAAGGUCCCUAAAUCUUACUUAAGUGGAAAACGAUGUGAAGUUACUUAAACAACCAGGAGGUUGGCUUAGAAGCAGCCAUCCUUUAAAGAAAGCGUAAUAGCUCACUGGUCUAGUGAUUUUGCGCGGAAAAUAUAACGGGGCUAAAGUAAGUACCGAAGCUGUAGACUUGCGCACAACUUAGAUUAUUUAAGUUUAGAAUAUGAGAAACUAAGUUAUAUGUUUAGUUAUAUUUUUACUGAUUUUUAUAGAGUAAAGAUAGAAAUAAAACUUAGUAAAAUCAGUAAAAAUAUUCUUAGACUAAAGUUAAGUAGUUUAAGUUGUGUGCAAGUGGUAGGAGAGCGUUCUAUUUGCGUCGAAGGUAUACCGGUAAGGAGUGCUGGAGCGAAUAGAAGUGAGCAUGCAGGCAUGAGUAGCGAUAAUUAAUGUGAGAAUCAUUAACGCCGUAAACCCAAGGUUUCCUACGCGAUGCUCGUCAUCGUAGGGUUAGUCGGGUCCUAAGUCGAGUCCGAAAGGGGUAGACGAUGGCAAAUUGGUUAAUAUUCCAAUACCAACAUUAGUGUGCGAUGGAAGGACGCUUAGGGCUAAGGGGGCUAGCGGAUGGAAGUGCUAGUCUAAGGUCGUAGGAGGUUAUACAGGCAAAUCCGUAUAACAAUACUCCGAGAACUGAAAGGCUUUUUGAAGUCUUCGGAUGGAUAGAAGAACCCCUGAUGCCGUCGAGCCAAGAAAAGUUUCUAAGUUUAGCUAAUGUUGCCCGUACCGUAAACCGACACAGGUGGGUGGGAUGAGUAUUCUAAGGCGCGUGGAAGAACUCUCUUUAAGGAACUCUGCAAAAUAGCACCGUAUCUUCGGUAUAAGGUGUGGUUAGCUUUGUAUUAGGAUUUACUCCGAAAGCAA